UUUCCCCGUAGGGUGAACCCCUGCGGAAAGGAUCAUUUGUCGAAACU
RNAcentral lists this ribosomal RNA (47 nucleotides) under Laportea canadensis. RNAcentral's name for it is "partial 18S ribosomal RNA". The record is from RNAcentral. Lineage: Eukaryota; Viridiplantae; Streptophyta; Magnoliopsida; Rosales; Urticaceae.